Long non-coding RNA from Populus euphratica (Euphrates poplar), 464 nucleotides. RefSeq lists it as uncharacterized. The transcript has 3 exons. The record is from RefSeq and is a predicted model, not a curated record. Lineage: Eukaryota; Viridiplantae; Streptophyta; Magnoliopsida; Malpighiales; Salicaceae.
GAAGGGUUUUUGUCUCUGUGUUGGAAAUGGCACAGCAGCUUAGCUGGUCAGAGAUGAAGGUGAAGAGAAAUUUAGAAAGUUUGAGACGAGACGAGCUGUCAUUAUCGGGAAUUCUUGAGGGAUAUGGCCGUUAGUUACAGAAAAAGGAGGCAUCAUGGUAAGAGAGCAGAAACGCCAGAGAAGGAUCAUAAGAAUGGAUUAUUCUUCACGCGCAUAAUAGAAGGAGAUGCAAGAGAGCGUGGGCUGGUAAGGACGCGUCUACGGGCCCAAGGACUUCUGCCUCAAGAAGCUCCAUCACAGACCCUUCGAGAGAGAGAGAGAGAGAGAGGGAGAGAGAGAGAGAGACAGAAACAGAGAGUAAAAGAAAGCGUGAAGACUUGGUUCUCUUUUGUUGACACUUGACUUUUGCUUUGUCUGGUGUGUGCCAUUUCUGUUUGCCUUGUUUUACCAUUUAUUUUUGUAAA